Long non-coding RNA from Megalobrama amblycephala (Wuchang bream), 1219 nucleotides. RefSeq lists it as uncharacterized. The record is from RefSeq and is a predicted model, not a curated record. NCBI's taxonomy places the organism in Eukaryota, Metazoa, Chordata, Actinopteri, Cypriniformes, Xenocyprididae. The transcript has 2 exons.
CAGUGCUGCUCGUAACAUGACAACAGUUUGUGUCAUCGCUUGAAAUCCCGAGCCUGUGGGCAGAAUCUCUCAUCCAAGUGCGAGUUUUCAUCAUGCGUGCUGUUCUUCAUGGUGUUGUUUAUAAACAUCCACAGACCAUGAGUAUCCUACGAUCAUUGUUGGAUUUGGAUCUGGGGGGGGUUGUCCUGUCCACGUUCCCCUAACACCUAAUUAAACGCACCCAGCGGCGGAAGGGGCAGGAACCAGAACGGAGCUGGGGUUAGCUGGUCAGGGGCCGGGACAGUAAGCGGUGGCCUGCGUGAGCUGGAGCAUGGGGGCCAUAAAUCCUUCACCUCUUCAUCCCUGCUGGAGCUCCAUGCAUGAGCUGGGCACUUUCUGGAGUUUGCAGUGCAGAACAAGCUUCCAGGCAAGUUCAUCCCUCACUGAGUGAAGAUUUGCCCAGCCAGCCACCAGACUCUGGGGCCUGGCCACUGUGAUCGCAAACAAAACAAGAGCCAGAGUUUGGUUGGCCUCUCUGUAUUUUUUUUUUAUAUAUAUAUACAAUGUGGAGGUUGGUCUCCGUGUUAGCAUACAGAUAAUAUAAUAAUAAUUAUCCAUCCAUCCAUCCAUCCAUCCAGAGGGUUUUGCCACAUUUAUUUACUUUAUUACACAUCUUGAGAAUUCUCAUCUUGAGAUGAGAAUUGCUCAGCUAAUUACUCAAGGCUUUUGACUAUUGACUAUUUAGAUUGUCAAAGGCAGCAGAAAGGGAAAAAGGAGUUAAAUUUAAAAAAUAUUAGCAGAAACAAUGUUUCUUGCAAAAAGGUCAGAUUUUGCAGAAUACACAUCUGAUUUUGAAUAAUUGUCAAUGGAGAAAGAUGCAUUUGAGAGCUAUUCAAAUUUUGAGUAACAUUUUGAGUUUAUGGUGUUCUUGUUGGUUGUUAUGGUGCUUAUGCAGUUCACACGGGUUCGAACUGACUUGCAACAUGUUCCGAUCCUUACACCCCAUUAUAUCCCUGUCAGUCUGAGUUGCAUUUGUUUAACAACAUCAAAAGAUAAAAUACAAGGUGUUAUUUUCUUCAGCAUUAAAUCUAAUUGUUCUGUACUUUCUUUACUGUUUAUUGACAUUUCAAAAUCCCAAAUGGUGAAUUCUGAAGUUUUUCCUCUUGUUAAAAAGUUAAUAUUAAAAAUGCACUCAAGAAUAGUAUUGAUUUAUUAUCUGACAUUAAAGCAGGAUGAAUUU